AACGAACGCUGGCGGCAUGCCUAACACAUGCAAGUCGAACGAGACCUUCGGGUCUAGUGGCGCACGGGUGCGUAACGCGUGGGAACCUGCCCUUAGGUUCGGAAUAACUCCCCGAAAGGGGUGCUAAUACCGGAUAAUGUCUUCGGACCAAAGAUUUAUCGCCUUUGGAUGGGCCCGCGUUGGAUUAGCUAGUUGGUAGGGUAAAAGCCUACCAAGGCGACGAUCCAUAGCUGGUCUGAGAGGAUGCUCAGCCACACUGGGACUGAGACACGGCCCAGACUCCUACGGGAAGCAGCAGUGGGGAAUAUUGGACAAUGGGGGAAAGCCUGAUCAAGCAGUGCCGCGGGAGUGAUGAAGGCCUUAGGGUUGUAAAGCUCUUUUACCCGGGAUGAUAAUGACGGUACCGGGAGAAUAAGCUCCGGCUAACUCCGUG
RNAcentral lists this ribosomal RNA (433 nucleotides) under uncultured bacterium. RNAcentral describes it as "partial 16S ribosomal RNA". It matches the Rfam family "Bacterial small subunit ribosomal RNA", at positions 29 to 507 of the family's 1533-position model. The record is from RNAcentral.